RNAcentral lists this ribosomal RNA (492 nucleotides) under uncultured bacterium. Its description in RNAcentral is "partial 16S ribosomal RNA". It matches the Rfam family "Bacterial small subunit ribosomal RNA", at positions 29 to 507 of the family's 1533-position model. The record is from RNAcentral.
AGUGAACGCUGGCGGUAGGCCUAACACAUGCAAGUCGAACGGCAGCACAGUAAGAGCUUGCUCUUACGGGUGGCGAGUGGCGGACGGGUGAGGAAUACAUCGGAAUCUACUUUUUCGUGGGGGAUAACGUAGGGAAACUUACGCUAAUACCGCAUACGACCUACGGGUGAAAGCAGGGGAUCUUCGGACCUUGCGCGAUUGAAUGAGCCGAUGUCGGAUUAGCUAGUUGGCGGGGUAAAGGCCCACCAAGGCGACGAUCCGUAGCUGGUCUGAGAGGAUGAUCAGCCACACUGGAACUGAGACACGGUCCAGACUCCUACGGGAGGCAGCAGUGGGGAAUAUUGGACAAUGGGCGCAAGCCUGAUCCAGCCAUACCGCGUGGGUGAAGAAGGCCUUCGGGUUGUAAAACCCUUUUGUUGGGAAAGAAAAGCAGCAGGUUAAUACCCCGCUGUUCUGACGGUACCCAAAUAAUAAGCACCGGCUAACUUCGUG